CCCUUAGAUGUUCUGGGCCGCACGCGCGCUACACUGACGAAUGCAACGAGCUUAUAACCUUGGCCGAAAGGUCUGGGUAAUCUCCAAAUUUCGUCGUGAUGGGGAUAGAUUAUUGCAAUUAUUAAUCUUCAACGAGGAAUGCCUAGUAAGCGCAAGUCAUCAGCUUGCGUUGAUUACGUCCCUGCCCUUUGUACACACCGCCCGUCGCUCCUACCGAUUGAAUGGUCCGGUGAAGCGUUCGGACCGUGGUCUUUGGACGGUUCGCCGUCUGUUGGCUGCGGGAAGUUCGUUAAACCUUAUCAUUUAGAGGAAGGAGAAGUCGUAACA
Molecule: ribosomal RNA, 327 nt
Filed under: uncultured eukaryote
Lineage: Eukaryota
Description: partial 18S ribosomal RNA
Rfam family: Eukaryotic small subunit ribosomal RNA
Source: RNAcentral